GACGAACGCUGGCGGCGUGCUUAACACAUGCAAGUCGAACGGAAAGGCCCUGCUUUUGUGGGGUGCUCGAGUGGCGAACGGGUGAGUAACACGUGAGUAACCUGCCCUUGACUUUGGGAUAACUUCAGGAAACUGGGGCUAAUACCGGCUAGGAGCUCCUGCUGCAUGGUGGGGGUUGGUAAGUUUCGGCGGUUGGGGAUGGACUCGCGGCUUAUCAGCUUGUUGGUGGGGUAGUGGCUUACCAAGGCUUUGACGGGUAGCCGGCCUGAGAGGGUGACCGGCCACAUUGGGACUGAGAUACGGCCCAGACUCCUACGGGAGGCAGCAGUGGGGAAGAGUGCACAAUGGGCGGAAGCCUGAUGCAGCAACGCCGCGUGCGGGAUGACGGCCUUCGGGUUGUAAACCGCUUUCGCCUGUGACGAAGCGUGAGUGACGGUAAUGGGUAAAGAAGCACCGGCUAACUACGUG
This 468-nucleotide ribosomal RNA is filed under the name uncultured bacterium. RNAcentral's name for it is "partial 16S ribosomal RNA". It matches the Rfam family "Bacterial small subunit ribosomal RNA", at positions 28 to 507 of the family's 1533-position model. The record is from RNAcentral.